AACGAACGCUGGCGGCAGGCUUAACACAUGCAAGUCGAGCGCCCCGCAAGGGGAGCGGCAGACGGGUGAGUAACACGUGGGAAUCUACCCAUCCCUACGGAACAACUCCGGGAAACUGGAGCUAAUACCGUAUACGCCCUUUGGGGGAAAGAUUUAUCGGGGAUGGAUGAGCCCGCGUUGGAUUAGCUAGUUGGUGGGGUAAAGGCCUACCAAGGCGACGAUCCAUAGCUGGUCUGAGAGGAUGAUCAGCCACAUUGGGACGGAGACACGGCCCAAACUCCUACGGGAGGCAGCAGUGGGGAAUAUUGGACAAUGGGCGCAAGCCUGAUCCAGCCAUGCCGCGUGAAUGAUGAAGGCCUUAGGGUUGUAAAGUUCUUUCACCGAUGAAGAUAAUGACGGUAGUCGGAGAAGAAGCCCCGGCUAACUUCGUGCCAGCCGCCGCGGUAA
Molecule: ribosomal RNA, 447 nt
Filed under: uncultured bacterium
Lineage: Bacteria
Description: partial 16S ribosomal RNA
Rfam family: Bacterial small subunit ribosomal RNA
Source: RNAcentral